Molecule: ribosomal RNA, 474 nt
Filed under: Streptococcus parasanguinis
Lineage: Bacteria; Bacillati; Bacillota; Bacilli; Lactobacillales; Streptococcaceae
Description: bacterial SSU rRNA
Rfam family: Bacterial small subunit ribosomal RNA
Source: RNAcentral
GAUGAACGCUGGCGGCGUGCCUAAUACAUGCAAGUAGAACGCUGAAGCUUGGUGCUUGCACCGAGCGGAUGAGUUGCGAACGGGUGAGUAACGCGUAGAUAACCUGCCUCUUAGCGGGGGAUAACUAUUGGAAACGAUAACUAAUACCGCAUAAAAGACGAUAUCGCAUGAUAUUGAUUUGAAAGGUGCAAAUGCAUCACUAAGAGAUGGACCUGCGUUGUAUUAGCUAGUUGGUGAGGUAACGGCUCACCAAGGCAACGAUACAUAGCCGACCUGAGAGGGUGAUCGGCCACACUGGGACUGAGACACGGCCCAGACUCCUACGGGAGGCAGCAGUAGGGAAUCUUCGGCAAUGGGGGCAACCCUGACCGAGCAACGCCGCGUGAGUGAAGAAGGUUUUCGGAUCGUAAAGCUCUGUUGUAAGAGAAGAACGAGUGUGAGAGUGGAAAGUUCACACUGUGACGGUAACUACCA